AGUAAGUAAGGGUUGUCCAUUUCUAUUUAGGUUUCGUCCUACAGACAACAUUCCUCUGAUACCACUUCUGUCACACCCGGACUUUAAGGAACAAAGCCGGGUGCAUCUCAUACAUGCGCCAAAGAAGACAACAUAUAUAAUAACAGAGUGUAUAGAGCUAAAUGUCACAAUAAUCAGAGUAUUUAUUACACAGCGGAAGUCUUACAAAAUAAAAGAUAAAUAUGAAAGGAUCUAAAAUAUAUCCUUGGCGCCAGAAAGUCAACUGGGAGACGCCACCUAGAUCGAAUCGAACUCCCCGUUGUGUGGCUCCUCUUGAAUCACCUGUUCUUCUCCUGUGGGGGGGUGUGAGACAGCAAGGGUGAGCUCACACAUGUUCAUCGCUCAACAAGUUGUGGGGAAUAAUGUGACAUGAACUCACCAAAGGUGGGAGUUCAUGUGAUGUGUAAGGCUGAUCAACAAUAGGGGUUAAAGCUGAGCAUUGCUUUUAAUAAGUUGGUCAAAUUUUAUUAGCAGUUACUAAAUGUAAGUAAAUACCAAACCAUAAUAAAUAAUAAUAGAACAAAAUUAAUAAUAAAUCCCAUGCAAUGCAUAUGAAAAAUUGAGUUUAAGUUUCAUAAAUUAAUCAUGCGAGACUCCUGAGCUGCUCAUGAGUGUGAGCUCGGCUAGUAUACCAGUUUUACACUCUGCAAAGGUUGUACCCUGUACCCACAAGUCGUGUAUCCCAUGUCGCCAAGGUUAGCUAGACCCUUAGACACUACCGAGGUGAAUGGCUAGGGAUCCACGACGAGGCCUUUAAAAAGUUCCACUAGCUUCCGAAAACCCACUACAGUUUAUGGGAAGAGCACUUGCAAGAAUCCCUCGUCUGACCGCCAUCGCAGCAAAAUCAACCCGAGAACCUCCUUGCAUGCAACUCCCCUACUUCCCUUGCCCCUUUCGGGUAAGGUAGUCUUCCACUAGCUUUCCUAAUUAAUUAGCCAAGGGCGUCCCAUUCUACCUUUGUGGUGGCACGUGUUUCUCAAGUUAAGCUCCAUGUUCCAAUUAAAGAUAAUGAUCUUGACAUGAACAUAAAUAAAAUAACAGAAUAAUUGGAACAUGGAUAUAAUGAAAUAUUAAUACCAAAACCAUGUAAUGCAAUAGCAUAACUACCCAAGUGAAGCAGGGUAAACAAGGUAAACAGGAUAAACAGAUUGGGUCCCAUCAACAUUAAACAUAUGCAUUGAAUAGUGAUAAUAAAGAAUAUUAUUGGGUAACAAAAGUGAAUCAAGAGCACAACUUGCAUGGCACUUAAGAUUCCAGUUACCAGGAUGAUUCUUCAAAUUUUCGUGACCUCACGCUAGUCGUAGCAAUACAAAAAGACAUGGUAUAGACAAAAUUAACAUCACACCAAACAUAAGUACAAACUGAAUAAUAAUAAUUUACGCGUUGCUACGAGAUCGUGGGAACGGGAACCACUAAAAUCUUAGUUACGAUUAAGGAGUUAUAGAAGAUCUAUGUGAUUAAAAUAUUAAACUAUAUUAUAAAUUGGUUAAUAUAAAUCAUAUGAGAGGUUAUUCUAUAAAUAAUUAUCUUCCAAACUAGUUGAAUGGUUGAUAAAUUGUCUAUUUGGUUUGAAAAGGAGUUUAUCAACCUACUAUUUAACGGUAAGGAAAGGCUGAACUACUUAGUUACUAAACUAGUAUUGAUCCCUUAACGGAACGGAGCUUAGAUCAACAAGAAGUAAAACACUCGUUCGGUCACUACAGAGAUGAACACCCUCAGGAUUGUCGGGUAUUCUUCUCCUCCGCUCCCUUCACUUCUCAAACAAAACAAACUAAAAAUCAUACCUGUCCGGGAGGUGAAGCAGAGGAAGGGAAGCCCUCGCCCUAACGAUAUGAUGACGAAAGGCAUGGCAACUAUAGCUCUGUUCGGGGGGAGGUUCUACCAACUCCAUAGGUUAGAGUGUCCCCUCCCCCCCUAUGGUAGCUUCACCUCCCUAUCGGAAUGGCCUCCACUCGGGCUUGACCUCGUUCCGGUCUUACCCUCCCUCGAGUCCUGUCGUAAGAAAGCGCUCUUAGUUCAGUUCGGUAGAACGUGGGUCUCCAAAACCCAAUGUCGUAGUUUCAAAUCCUAGAGAGCGUGAUUCUUUUCUUGUUAUGUAAAAUAAAAAAAGAUUAGAACAGUCUCUAUUUAUAUAAGAUCAUAAUAGUAAUUGUGUUUCGGUAUGUGUUGAAUAUGCUCAAUAAGGGAGUUUUUAUUUAUAUAAGAUCAUAAUAGUAAUUGUGUUUCGGUCUAAGUUAUAAAUUGAUCAUAUAUCAUUUUCUAUUACAUUGAUAAGCAGAUUAACAAGACUAAUCAACAUAGGUUAAAUAAAGAUCUAAUUAUAAAAUAAUGAGACAUGGUACAAUAAAUGUUGUUUCUGCGUAGUAAAUACUUGUACGAGACUAACGCAACUUGAAUGGAUCAAAUCGGAGUUAUAGAUUUUAAGUUAUGAAUUUAUUAAGAUUAUAUGUGUUUUGUACAAGAUUAAAUAUGAUAUAAAUUUUAAUGUGACUUUUAUGUCAAAACAUAGGCAAUAGGUGAUAAAUAACAUUAUUACAAAAUUAUAGAAAUUGGAAUGUAUUGAUUUGAACUUCAUAUGAAUUUUAUAUGAAUUAAACAAGUUCAAGGAAUUGUUUUCACAUUAAAAAUUCCUUUUCUAAAUUAUUUUACAGGUUUUUCUCACUGUCUGGACUGGGUGCCAAUUUAACAGAAACACAGGGGCUAUGGAGCAAGUAUUCCUAAGACACAGAGCGCUGUUAACUGAACUGCGGGUUGAUAUAUAUAAAGUGCGGGGUCUCUUUAGGAAAAUGGCAUGGCGAAGAGGUAUCUGUUGAUAUGGGCCGUCAGAUCUAAGAUCAAGGGUUAGGAUUAGAUCCUACUUAAAAUGAAUCGGUAUGCAAUCGGGGCCAUUGGAUUUCUAAUGGACGCCUAGGAUUUUAAAAUACUCAGCUCAACUCAUGCCCGUCGGAUUAGAAUCUAACGGCGCCUGGCACAUCCGACCAAAUCACUACGUUUCAUCUAAUCCUAGCCCCACGUCGCACAAUCGACGACUCACACUAUCCCUUCCUCCUCACUGGCGACAGACACGGCGAACACGUCCUCGCACGACGGCGGAAUCACGGGAGGUCGCAAAUCCGGCCAUCCCGAGCGUCAUGCACCAAUUCACACGGCCUUCGAGAAAAUUACGACCCUUCGAUCCUAUUCCUCCCAUCAAUUUCUGUCGCCAACCAACGCAGACCCCGGUCCAUGGCACAGUCAAACUCACGGCGGGAAAUCGCUCCGAUGAGCAAUUACCGGUGCCCAUGGUCACUACUUCCAAAUCCGAAUGCUCCUAAGCGAUGCAGAAUUAAUGACGCGCACGCUGGAAGAGGUCUUACCGGUCGUCACGACGCGGAGAGCAUUCAGCCAUGAUGGAGCAUGGCCGCGGCGGCGCCGUGCACUCCGACGGCAAUUGGCCGGACUCAGGCCAUGGAGUUGGUCCCUCGCCGCGCAGUCCCCAUCCGUGAGACCCAUAGACUACCUCGGCCCGCCCAUAGAGGCAUAAGCCAAGGAACCGUGACCCUCUCCAUGCGGCGUCCACCGUUCUCUCCCUGCAAUGGUGGCUUGACAAUGGUGCUACCGGCUCGGAUGGAUUGAGGGGGAUGGUGGCGCGGGGCACUGCACUUUAUGGCUCACAGUAUGAGCCGCAUACCAAGGCAACGACUAUUGAAACGGCCGCCCGAGAACUCCGG
This 3749-nucleotide long non-coding RNA is filed under the name Zea mays. Its description in RNAcentral is "long non-coding RNA (ZMAY_LNC003200)". The stretch from base 2045 to 2118 matches the Rfam family "tRNA". The record is from RNAcentral. Lineage: Eukaryota; Viridiplantae; Streptophyta; Magnoliopsida; Poales; Poaceae.